UACGUAGGGGGCGAGCGUUGUCCGGAAUUAUUGGGCGUAAAGAGCGUGUAGGCGGUUCGGUAAGUCUGCCGUGAAAACCCAGGGCUCAACCCUGGGCGUGCGGGGGAUACUGCCGGGCUAGAGGGUGGUAGAGGCGAGUGGAAUUCCCGGUGUAGCGGUGAAAUGCGCAGAUAUCGGGAGGAACACCAGUAGCGAAGGCGGCUCGCUGGGCCAUACCUGACGCUGAGACGCGAAAGCGUGGGGAGCAAACAGG
This 253-nucleotide ribosomal RNA is filed under the name uncultured bacterium. Its description in RNAcentral is "partial 16S ribosomal RNA". It matches the Rfam family "Bacterial small subunit ribosomal RNA", at positions 524 to 776 of the family's 1533-position model. The record is from RNAcentral.